AACGAACGCUGGCGGCGUGGCUAAAGCAUGCAAGUCGAACGGACCCCUUGAUGAGUAAUCUGAUUGGGAGUUAGUGGCGAACGGGUGAGGAAUAAAUGGAUAACGUGCCCCGAACUCUGGGAUAGCGGCGGAACUUCGGUUCCUUUGCGAAAGUGCCGGUAAUACCAGAUGAUCUCGUGUGAUCUCCUGAUUAUGCGAACAAAGUUCAGGCGGUUUGGGAGCGGUCCAUUUCCUAUCAGCUUGUUGGUGGGGUAAAGGCCUACCAAGGCAACGACGGGUAUCGGGUGUGAGAGCACGACCCGACACAUCGGGACUGAGACACUGCCCGGACACCUACGGGUGGCUGCAGCAACGAAUAUUCCGCAAUGGGCGCAAGCCUGACGGAGCGACGCCGCGUGCAGGACGAAGUCUUUCGGGAUGUAAACUGCUGUCAGGGGCUAGAAAUAAAUUGAUCAGCCCCAAAGGAAGCAUCGGCUAACUCCGUGCCAGCAGCCGCGGUAAUACGGAGGAUGCGAGCGUUGUUCGGAAUCACUGGGCUUAAAGCGCAUGUAGGCGGAAUGUAGGGGGAAUUGGGCACGCCCCCGGCCCAAUCGGGGAAUUGCUAGGCAAACCGACAUC
Molecule: ribosomal RNA, 618 nt
Filed under: uncultured bacterium
Lineage: Bacteria
Description: bacterial SSU rRNA
Rfam family: Bacterial small subunit ribosomal RNA
Source: RNAcentral